This 274-nucleotide ribosomal RNA is filed under the name uncultured bacterium. Its description in RNAcentral is "partial 16S ribosomal RNA". It matches the Rfam family "Bacterial small subunit ribosomal RNA", at positions 523 to 796 of the family's 1533-position model. The record is from RNAcentral.
CUACGGAGGGUGUAAGCGUUACUCGGAAUCACUGGGCGUAAAGCGCGCGCAGGCGGCUUGAUAAGUUGGAUGUGAAAGCCUACGGCUCAACCGUAGAACUGCAUCCAAAACUGUCAGGCUAGAGUGUGGGAGAGGAAGAUGGAAUUAGUUGUGUAGGGGUAAAAUCCGUAGAGAUAACUAGGAAUACCAAAAGCGAAGGCAAUCUUCUGGAACACUACUGACGCUGAGGCGCGAAGGCGUGGGGAGCAAACAGGAUUAGAAACCCGAGUAGUCC